CUACGGGACGCUGCAGUGGGGAAUAUUGCACAAUGGGCGCAAGCCUGAUGCAGCCAUGCUGCGUGUAUGAAGAAGGCCUUCGGGUUGUAAAGUACUUUCAGCGGGGAGGAAGGGAGUAAAGUUAAUACCUUUGCUCAUUGACGUUACCCGCAGAAGAAGCACCGGCUAACUCCGUGCCAGCAGCCGCGGUAAUACGGAGGGUGCAAGCGUUAAUCGGAAUUACUGGGCGUAAAGCGCACGCAGGCGGUUUGUUAAGUCAGAUGUGAAAUCCCCGGGCUCAACCUGGGAACUACAUCUGAUACUGGCAAGCUUGAGUCUCGUAGAGGGGGGUAGAAUUCCAGGUGUAGCGGUGAAAUGCGUAGAGAUCUGGAGGAAUACCGGUGGCGAAGGCGGCCCCCUGGACGAAGACUGACGCUCAGGUGCGAAAGCGUGGGGAGCAAACAGGAUUAGAUACCCGUGUAGUC
Molecule: ribosomal RNA, 464 nt
Filed under: uncultured bacterium
Lineage: Bacteria
Description: partial 16S ribosomal RNA
Rfam family: Bacterial small subunit ribosomal RNA
Source: RNAcentral